This 468-nucleotide ribosomal RNA is filed under the name uncultured bacterium. RNAcentral describes it as "partial 16S ribosomal RNA". It matches the Rfam family "Bacterial small subunit ribosomal RNA", at positions 28 to 507 of the family's 1533-position model. The record is from RNAcentral.
GACGAACGCUGGCGGCGUGCUUAACACAUGCAAGUCGAACGGAAAGGCCCUGCUUUUGUGGGGUGCUCGAGUGGCGAGCGGGUGAGUAACACGUGAGUAACCUGCCCUUGACUUUGGGAUAACUUCAGGCAACUGGGGCUAAUACCGGAUAGGAGCUCCUGCUGCAUGGUGGGGGUUGGAAGGUUUCGGUGGUUGGGGAUGGACUCGCGGCUUAUCAGCUUGUUGGGUUGGUAGUGUCUAACCAAGGCAUUGCCGGGUAGCCGGCCGGGGAGGGUGACCUGCUAAGUCGGACUUGAACUACGGCACAGCCCAGUAUGGGAGGCAGCAGUGCGGAAGAUUGUACAAUGGGCUGAACCAUGAUGCAGUCACGCAGCGUGCGGGAUGACGUCAUUCGGGUUGUAUACCGAUUUUGCCUGUGACGAAGCGUGAGUGACGGUAAUGGGUAAAGAAGCACCGGCUAACUACGUG